UUAAAAGAAAGAAAAGAAGGAAAGUAGUAAUAUAUGUUAACCCAUUCGUUGGGGUUUACAUAUUAAUGAUAAGGUCCUAUCACUCGGUGAUCGGGUUAUUGAGGCACUCAUAUUACCCGGAAGUAAUACUAGCACUUGAACGUUUAUCACUAGAUUUCGUUUAAUACCGCCAGAUAGAAGGAUUUCGUUUAUAUUGAAAAGAGACAGUUUUGUCACACCCCAACCGAUCGAACACUACUUCGUCAAUACUAUACUUCAAAAGUUUGGAAAAGUGGGACGCCAUGUGCUAGC
RNAcentral lists this long non-coding RNA (291 nucleotides) under Helianthus annuus (common sunflower). RNAcentral describes it as "sRNA HanXRQr2_Chr11g0474581". Lineage: Eukaryota; Viridiplantae; Streptophyta; Magnoliopsida; Asterales; Asteraceae. The record is from RNAcentral.